AUACGGAGGGUGCAAGCGUUGUCCGGAUUUAUUGGGUUUAAAGGGUGCGUAGGUGGUUUUUUAAGUCAGUGGUGAAAGCCUACAGCUUAACUGUAGAGGUGCCAUUGAAACUGGAAGACUUGAGUAUGGACGAGGUAGGCGGAAUUUGUGGUGUAGCGGUGAAAUGCAUAGAUACCACAAAGAACACCGAUAGCGAAGGCAGCUUACUAGGCCAUAACUGACACUGAGGCACGAAAGUGUGGGGAGCGAACAGGAUUAGAAACCCUAGUAGUCC
This 274-nucleotide ribosomal RNA is filed under the name uncultured bacterium. Its description in RNAcentral is "partial 16S ribosomal RNA". It matches the Rfam family "Bacterial small subunit ribosomal RNA", at positions 523 to 796 of the family's 1533-position model. The record is from RNAcentral.